AAAUUGAAGAGUUUGAUCAUGGCUCAGAUUGAACGCUGGCGGCAGGCCUAACACAUGCAAGUCGAACGGUAACAGGAAGCAGCUUGCUGCUUCGCUGACGAGUGGCGGACGGGUGAGUAAUGUCUGGGAAACUGCCUGAUGGAGGGGGAUAACUACUGGAAACGGUGGCUAAUACCGCAUAACGUCGCAAGACCAAAGAGGGGGACCUUCGGGCCUCUUGCCAUCAGAUGUGCCCAGAUGGGAUUAGCUUGUUGGUGAGGUAACGGCUCACCAAGGCGACGAUCCCUAGCUGGUCUGAGAGGAUGACCAGCCACACUGGAACUGAGACACGGUCCAGACUCCUACGGGAGGCAGCAGUGGGG
Molecule: ribosomal RNA, 362 nt
Filed under: Salmonella enterica
Lineage: Bacteria; Pseudomonadati; Pseudomonadota; Gammaproteobacteria; Enterobacterales; Enterobacteriaceae
Also listed under: 1 other name
Description: bacterial SSU rRNA
Rfam family: Bacterial small subunit ribosomal RNA
Source: RNAcentral